This 1008-nucleotide ribosomal RNA is filed under the name uncultured bacterium. RNAcentral's name for it is "bacterial SSU rRNA". It matches the Rfam family "Bacterial small subunit ribosomal RNA", at positions 396 to 1401 of the family's 1533-position model. The record is from RNAcentral.
GUAGCGUGCAGGAUGACUGCCUUAUGGGUUGUAAACUGCUUUUUUACGGGAAUAAUUAUGAUCACGUGUGAUUAUUUGCAUGUACCGUAAGAAUAAGGAUCGGCUAACUCCGUGCCAGCAGCCGCGGUAAUACGGAGGAUCCUAGUGUUAUCCGGAUUUAUUGGGUUUAAAGGGAGCGUAGGCGGGAGGUCAAGUCAGCCGUGAAAUGUAUCUGCUUAACGGGUACACUGCAGUUGAAACUGGUUUUCUUGAGUGCGUAAGAGGCAGGCGGAAUUCGUUGUGUAGCGGUGAAAUGCUUAGAUAUGACGAGGAACUCCUAUUGCGAAGGCAGCUUGCUGGGUCGUUACUGACGCUGAUGCUCGAAGGUGCGGGGAUCAAACAGGAUUAGAUACCCUGGUAGUCCGCACAGUAAACUAAGGAUACUCUCUUGCCGGCGAAUACAUUGUCGGUGGCCAAGCGAAAGCGUUAAGUAUCCCACCUGGGGAGUACGUUCGCAAGAAUGAAACUCAAAGGAAUUGACGGGGGCCCGCACAAGCGGAGGAACAUGUGGUUUAAUUCGAUGAUACGCGAGGAACCUUACCCGGGUUUGAAUUGCUGAUGGCGGUAUUUGGAGACAGAUACUUCCCUUCGGGGCGUCAGUGAAGGUGCUGCAUGGUUGUCGUCAGCUCGUGCCGUGAGGUGUCGGCUUAAGUGCCAUAACGAGCGCAACCCUUGCCGUUAGUUGCCAUCGGGUCAUGCCGGGCACUCUAUUGGGACUGCCAUCGUAAGAUGUGAGGAAGGUGGGGAUGACGUCAAAUCAGCACGGCCCUUAUGUCCGGGGCGACACACGUGUUACAAUGGGGGGUACAGUGGGAAGCUACCUGGCGACAGGUUGCGGAUCCCCAAAUCCUUUCUCAGUUCGGAUCGGAGUCUGUAACUCGACUCCGUGAAGUUGGAUUCGCUAGUAAUCGCGCAUCAGCCAUGGCGCGGUGAAUACGUUCCCGGGCCUUGCACACACCGCCCGUCAAG